UACCGCGGCUGCUGGCACGUAGUUAGCCGGGGCUUUUCCUUACUUACCUUCAUACAUAAGUUCCCUUAUGCUGUUAUUCCGUAAGUUCAGAAGUUUACAUCCCGAAGGACUUCUUCCUUCACGCGGCGUCGCUGGAUCACACUUCCGUGCAUUGUCCAAAAUUCCCCACUGCUGCCUCCCGUAGGAGUAGGAACCGUGUCUCAGUUCCCUUGUGGCCGAUCAUGCUCUCACAUCGGCUACCCGUCGUCGGCUUGGUAGGCUCUUACCCUACCAACUACCUGAUGGGACGUAGACCCCUCUCCCGGCGCUUUUAAGCUUUUAUCUCUCGAUUAUUAUCCAGUAUUACCUACCGUUUCCAGUAGCUAUCCCAGUCCGUUAGGCAGGUUCCUACGUUAUACUCACCCGUUCGCCACUGAUACUCAAGGAGCAAGCUCCUCUUUCUCCGUUCGACUUGCAUGUGUUAGGCGCGCCGCCAGCGUUCACCCUGAGCCAGGAUCAAACUC
This 503-nucleotide ribosomal RNA is filed under the name uncultured Thermotogales bacterium. Its description in RNAcentral is "partial 16S ribosomal RNA". Lineage: Bacteria; Thermotogati; Thermotogota; Thermotogae; Thermotogales. The record is from RNAcentral.